Myxocyprinus asiaticus (Chinese sucker) is the source of this 740-nucleotide long non-coding RNA. RefSeq lists it as uncharacterized. The transcript has 3 exons. NCBI's taxonomy places the organism in Eukaryota, Metazoa, Chordata, Actinopteri, Cypriniformes, Catostomidae. The record is from RefSeq and is a predicted model, not a curated record.
AUAAACCCAAGAGUUUUUUCUCAUAGACUAUCAGGAUGAAGGUGGUUGUUGCUCUACUGUUGCUGUACUGUGUGCUGCUCCAUGAUGUACAAACUGAGGUGGCAGAUUUAAUGGCCAAAGAAAAUAGCAACCAGCCCAACAUCUGGACUGAGAAAUGGUAGAACACAUGGAGUGAAAAAAAAAAGAAUGCAGGGAUGAAUGACCGACUGAAGAUCAGUGAAACCCAGCUGGAAGAGUUUAAGAGAGAUAAUGCAGGUAAAUUGGUAUAAUCAAAAUGUAAAAAGUAAGGAUUGUCUUAUAUUCAUAUAGCGGUUAUAAUUAAUUAUUUUAUUAUUAUUAUUAUUAUUAUUGUUGUUGUUGUUGUUGUUGUGUGUAAUCUGCGUAUAUAAUGUUAAGUGUAUGCUGAUCACUUCUUGGACUGUGAACUGUGAAUGGUGUAAUAUUUUCUGACUACAGAAAAAACAAAGAUGUAGGUCCCUACAACAUAGAAAUCACACUGAUUCACACACACUAUUCAAUAACGUCUUCACCAAUUUUGGCUACAACUACAAUCCAACCACAUGUCCACAGUCUUGAUUAAUGGAAACUCUCCAUGUCGUGCUAGGAAACUGCACAGAAUUUAUAGAAAUGCAAAUUCUAAUUUUGAUCAAUUAUCAGUUAUUCAGCAGACCCUGUUUAUUUAUUUAUUUAUUAUUGAUUCAUAAAGUGUCUUCAAAGCAUCGAUUAAAAGAAUCUACUAC